CACCCGUUCCCAUACCGAACACGGAAGUUAAGCUCUUCAGCGCCGAUGGUAGUUGGGGGUUUCCCCCUGUGAGAGUAGGACGUCGCUGGGC
Molecule: ribosomal RNA, 91 nt
Filed under: Psychrobacillus psychrotolerans
Lineage: Bacteria; Bacillati; Bacillota; Bacilli; Caryophanales; Bacillaceae
Source: RNAcentral